This 182-nucleotide unclassified non-coding RNA is filed under the name uncultured Orbiliales. Its description in RNAcentral is "sequence contains ITS1". The record is from RNAcentral. Lineage: Eukaryota; Fungi; Ascomycota; Orbiliomycetes; Orbiliales.
CCAAAAACAACGGCCGAAAGGCCUUGCCCUAGGGGGGGAGACCUCCCGACGGUAAACCCUUUGUGAAAACCCUUCGUUUGCCUCGGCGGCACCCUUUAAUCGGGGGUCAGCCCGCCGACGGCACCAACCAAAACUCUUUUGAAUUGAAGAAUCUAGUCUGAAUCAAUGGUCGAAUGACUAUA